CUCCUACGGGUGGCUGCAGUGGGGAAUUUUGGACAAUGGGGGAAACCCUGAUCCAGCCAUGCCGCGUGCGGGAAGAAGGCCUUCGGGUUGUAAACCGCUUUUGUCAGGGAAGAAAUCCUUUGGGUUAAUACCUCGGAGGGAUGACGGUACCUGAAGAAUAAGCACCGGCUAACUACGUGCCAGCAGCCGCGGUAAUACGUAGGGUGCGAGCGUUAAUCGGAAUUACUGGGCGUAAAGCGUGCGCAGGCGGUUUUGUAAGAUCGAUGUGAAAUCCCCGGGCUCAACCUGGGAACUGCAUUGGUGACUGCAAGGCUGGAGUGCGGCAGAGGGGGAUGGAAUUCCGCGUGUAGCAGUGAAAUGCGUAGAUAUGCGGAGGAACACCGAUGGCGAAGGCAAUCCCCUGGGCCUGCACUGACGCUCAUGCACGAAAGCGUGGGGAGCAAACAGGAUUAGAUACCCUGGUAGUCCACGCCCUAAACGAUGUCGACUAGUUGUUGGACGGCUUGCUGUUCAGUAACGUAGCUAACGCGUGAAGUCGACC
This 541-nucleotide ribosomal RNA is filed under the name uncultured bacterium. RNAcentral describes it as "bacterial SSU rRNA". It matches the Rfam family "Bacterial small subunit ribosomal RNA", at positions 336 to 870 of the family's 1533-position model. The record is from RNAcentral.